Long non-coding RNA from Cotesia glomerata, 271 nucleotides. RefSeq lists it as uncharacterized. The transcript is spliced from 3 exons. The record is from RefSeq and is a predicted model, not a curated record. NCBI's taxonomy places the organism in Eukaryota, Metazoa, Arthropoda, Insecta, Hymenoptera, Braconidae.
UGUCAUUCUUAUUUGUACUUAGUAACAGAAUUAUAAUAUGUCAGAACAGUUAACGGUUAGAAUGACAAUUAUAAAGGUAUAAAAUAAACAAAAGAUACUCUGAUAGGAUUGAAAAUAAAGCAGCAACUUCAUCUCGCUGGCAGAAAAUCAUCAUUUUCUGCCCGGUAACAGUCGCAUUGGUCUGAAAUUGACUAGUUUCGGUUGGCUCAACAGGCAUUGAAACUCGCAUUUUCAAUGCAGGCUAUGUGAAAAAUUUUUUUUAAUAGUAAAA